UGGACGAUAUGAGGAGCUUCUUGGCCAUGGUGCAGUGAAGAUGGUGUAUAGAGCAUUUGAUCUUGAGGAAGGCAGAGAAGUAGCCUGGAAUCAGAUUAAAUUGAACAAAUUCAUUGGCAGUCCUUUCAUCAUCAGUAAGAUCCAUUCUGAAAUCGAGUUGCUGAAGAAUUUGAAGAAUGACAACAUCAUUGUCAUGUACCAUUUCUGGAAAGACACUGACCAUAACAUUCUGAAUUUCAUAACCGAGGCAUGUGCUUCUGGUAAUUUGAGGGAAUACAGGAAAAAGCAUCGUCAUGUUUCAAUCAAGGCCAUGAAGAAGUGGUCAAGACAGAUAUUGCAAGGCUUGGAUUUUCUCCAUACUCACGAUCCUUGUGUUAUACAUAGAGACCUCAAUUGUAGUAACAUCUUUAUCAAUGGAAAUGUUGGCAAGGUGAAGAUCGGUGAUCUUGGUUUGGCAACAAUCGUGGGGAAGAGCCAUGCAGCACAUUCUGUACUAGGGACGCCAGAGUAUAUGGCACCAGAGCUUUAUGAAGAGAACUAUACAGAGUUGGUAGAUGUAUACUCGUUUGGGAUGUGUUUGAUUGAAAUGGCUACUCUGGAGAUACCUUACAGUGAAUGUGACAGUUUAGCCAAACUAUACAAGAUAGUAACUUCUGGGAAAAAGCCUCAAGCUUUUAACAGGGUGAGUGAUCCCGAGUUGAAGGCCUUCAUUGAAAGAUGCGUUG
RNAcentral lists this unclassified non-coding RNA (725 nucleotides) under Hevea brasiliensis (rubber tree). Lineage: Eukaryota; Viridiplantae; Streptophyta; Magnoliopsida; Malpighiales; Euphorbiaceae. The record is from RNAcentral.